Molecule: long non-coding RNA, 378 nt
Filed under: Ananas comosus (pineapple)
Lineage: Eukaryota; Viridiplantae; Streptophyta; Magnoliopsida; Poales; Bromeliaceae
Description: long non-coding RNA (ACOM_LNC034792)
Source: RNAcentral
AAAUUUUAAAUUUUAAAUUAAUUUUAAAUUUUGAAUUGAAAUAUAAAUUUACAGCAGAUAUUCUGGCAAAUAUUUGGAUAAGCAUAAAUUUUUUUCUAUUUUAGAGAUAAAAAAAAUUAAAUAAUUUUUUAAUUAAAAUAUAGAUUCACAGUAGAUAUCUUUCGGUUGGUAAAAAUUUGGAUAAGUAUAUAUAUUUUUUUUCUAUUUUAAAGAUAAACAGAAAUUAAAAAUUUGUUUCAUUACGUUAUUUAUUUUACGUACGGAAAGAGGAAUCAAUAUUUUCCUACUAAAAAAUGGGUCUGUCGACAGACCUAAAUUUGAAAUACGUGCUUUUAUAUAUAGUAUAGAUAUUUACGGCAAUGAUAUUGAGUUUGAUGC